UCCCUGAUGGUCCAGUGACUAAGACUCUGCACUCCCAAUGCAGGGGGCCAGGGUUCAAUCCCUGGUCAGGGAA
RNAcentral lists this transfer RNA (73 nucleotides) under Bos taurus (domestic cattle). It matches the Rfam family "tRNA". From Rfam's summary of the family: Transfer RNA (tRNA) molecules are approximately 80 nucleotides in length. The record is from Rfam by way of RNAcentral. RNAcentral also lists the same sequence under 3 other names. Lineage: Eukaryota; Metazoa; Chordata; Mammalia; Artiodactyla; Bovidae.